Molecule: ribosomal RNA, 431 nt
Filed under: uncultured bacterium
Lineage: Bacteria
Also listed under: 1 other name
Description: bacterial SSU rRNA
Rfam family: Bacterial small subunit ribosomal RNA
Source: RNAcentral
GUGGGGAAUAUUGCACAAUGGGCGGAAGCCUGAUGCAGCGACGCCGCGUGGGGGAUGACGGCCUUCGGGUUGUAAACUCCUUUCACCAUCGACGAAGGUUUUCUGACGGUAGAUGGAGAAGAAGCACCGGCUAACUACGUGCCAGCAGCCGCGGUAAUACGUAGGGUGCGAGCGUUGUCCGGAAUUACUGGGCGUAAAGAGCUCGUAGGUGGUUUGUCGCGUCGUCUGUGAAAUUCCGGGGCUUAACUCCGGGCGUGCAGGCGAUACGGGCAUAACUUGAGUACUGUAGGGGAGACUGGAAUUCCUGGUGUAGCGGUGAAAUGCGCAGAUAUCAGGAGGAACACCGGUGGCGAAGGCGGGUCUCUGGGCAGUAACUGACGCUGAGGAGCGAAAGCAUGGGUAGCGAACAGGAUUAGAAACCCGAGUAGUCC